Molecule: long non-coding RNA, 682 nt
Organism: Neodiprion virginianus
Lineage: Eukaryota; Metazoa; Arthropoda; Insecta; Hymenoptera; Diprionidae
Exons: 2
Source: RefSeq, a predicted model, not a curated record
CGGCGGCGACUGAUUAGUCACUCAAGGUUCUGAUGAAUUUCGGUCAAUAUCUCUGCUUAGAAUUCGAACUCGGGUUAUGACUAUGCGCACUAUUUGACCGUAGUCACGGGUGGGGGGAGCGAUUACACGCAGCAAAAAAAAUAAAUAAAUUUCUAUCUUUAGGUACUGGCUUUGCGGAUUUCAGAAUAGAACGGAUAACCUCAGUGUCGGACAGUCCGUUGGCGUGCUGUUGGAAAUUCACAAUCAACCUCAAAGGUCCAGAACCCCUCGAGAUGGGAGCUGUCUGUCCUGGCUGUUGUUUCGGACCCUGUUGUCCGGGUCCUAGAGGAGCGGGUAGUUGGGGCCCACCUCGAGGUGGACCAGGUGGGCCCGGUCGAGGUGGACCGGGUGGCUUCGGAGGACCAGGGGGUCCCAGAGGAGGUGGUCCCGGAGGUGGGGGGCCUGGAGGAGGUCCGGGAGGGCGUUGAGGACUAUGAAAACCUGAUGAAAUCUUGACCCAUUUUUCGUCAUCCUUAUUUAUACUAGUGCUGAGAAAAUUGUUCGAGCUACAUACUAUGUUCACUCUGCUUAUGACCGCCGCCAAUGCUACUGCCUUGGAGCAUCAUCCAAGUUUUUUUCUGAGAUUCAUCUGGUGGCCUUCAUAUGUUAGAGAUUUUUAAUAAAACAUUGUAUUUGACGCUAA